UGGGGAAUUUUGGACAAUGGAGGAAACUCUGAUCCAGCAAUGCCGCGUGAGUGAAGAAGGCCUUCGGGUUGUAAAGCUCUUUUAACAAUGAAGAUGAUGACUGUAAUUGUAGAAUAAGGUCCGGCAAACUUCGUGCCAGCAGCCGCGGUAAUACGAAGGGAUCUAGCGUUGUUCGGAAUCACUGGGCGUAAAGCGCAAGUAGGUGGUUUGGUAAGUUAGAUGUGAAAUCCUUGGUUUUAAGCCAAGAACUGCAUUUAAUACUGCUAAACUUGAGUACAAAAGAGGAUAUUAGAAUUCCAAGUGUAGGGGUAAAAUCCGUAGAUAUUUGGAGGAAUACCAGAAGCGAAGGCGUAUAUCUGGUUUGUAACUGACACUGAGUUGCGAAAGCGUGGGGAGCAAA
This 400-nucleotide ribosomal RNA is filed under the name uncultured bacterium. RNAcentral's name for it is "bacterial SSU rRNA". It matches the Rfam family "Bacterial small subunit ribosomal RNA", at positions 355 to 772 of the family's 1533-position model. The record is from RNAcentral.